This 464-nucleotide ribosomal RNA is filed under the name uncultured Thiobacillus sp. Its description in RNAcentral is "bacterial SSU rRNA". It matches the Rfam family "Bacterial small subunit ribosomal RNA", at positions 910 to 1382 of the family's 1533-position model. The record is from RNAcentral. Lineage: Bacteria; Pseudomonadati; Pseudomonadota; Betaproteobacteria; Nitrosomonadales; Thiobacillaceae.
UUGACGGGGACCCGCACAAGCGGUGGAUGAUGUGGUUUAAUUCGAUGCAACGCGAAAAUCUUACCACCUUGACAUGUACGGAAUCCUUUAGAGAUAGAGGAGUGCUCGAAAGAGAACCGUAACACAGGUGCUGCAUGGCUGUCGUCAGCUCGUGUCGUGAGAUGUUGGGUUAAGUCCCGCAACGAGCGCAACCCUUAUCAUUAGUUGCUACGCAAGGGCACUCUAAUGAGACUGCCGGUGACAACCGGAGGAAGGUGGGGAUGACGUCAAGUCCUCAUGGCCCUUAUGGGUAGGGCUUCACACGUCAUACAAUGGUCGGUACAGAGGGUUGCCAAGCCGCGAGGUGGAGCCAAUCCCAGAAAGCCGAUCGUAGUCCGGAUUGUUCUCUGCAACUCGAGAGCAUGAAGUCGGAAUCGCUAGUAAUCGCGGAUCAGCAUGUCGCGGUGAAUACGUUCCCGGGUCUU